Molecule: long non-coding RNA, 233 nt
Filed under: Ananas comosus (pineapple)
Lineage: Eukaryota; Viridiplantae; Streptophyta; Magnoliopsida; Poales; Bromeliaceae
Description: long non-coding RNA (ACOM_LNC004167)
Source: RNAcentral
AAAAAUAUGAAAGAUUACAGUGGAAAUGGAUUGUGCUACACACAUGUAGUGAUGUCUACUGUGGCUUAAUCACUUAAUUAAUCCAUACCUAACUAUAUAUAGCUAUCAAGUCAUAACAAAUGAUAAAUCCAAUUUUUACUUUGAAUAACUAUGAAUCCUAAUCAUAAUCAAAUAAAAGAUUUAAACUUAUCUCUAAUUAUAUUUUAAUUAAGUUUGGAUUAUUAUUCUAACAU